AUAUAGUGUUUUUUUGUCAUUCCACAAACAUUAGUCAUGGUCAGAGGUACAGAGAAUACAUGUUACUACAGGAUGCGUCUGAGUUGUCUGAGAAGGUAGUUGAGGCAG
Long non-coding RNA from Amblyraja radiata (thorny skate), 108 nucleotides. RefSeq lists it as uncharacterized. The transcript has 3 exons. The record is from RefSeq and is a predicted model, not a curated record. NCBI's taxonomy places the organism in Eukaryota, Metazoa, Chordata, Chondrichthyes, Rajiformes, Rajidae.